This 433-nucleotide ribosomal RNA is filed under the name uncultured bacterium. RNAcentral describes it as "partial 16S ribosomal RNA". It matches the Rfam family "Bacterial small subunit ribosomal RNA", at positions 28 to 507 of the family's 1533-position model. The record is from RNAcentral.
GACGAACGCUGGCGGCAUGCCUAACACAUGCAAGUCGAACGAAACCUUCGGGUCUAGUGUCGCACGGGUGCGUAACGCGUGGGAACCUGCCCUUAGGUUCGGAAUAACUCCCCGAAAGGGGUGCUAAUACCGGAUCAUGUCUUCGGACCAAAGAUUUAUCGCCUUGGGAUGGGCCCGCGUUGGAUUAGCUAGUUGGUAGGGUAAAAGCAUACCACGGCGACGAUCCAUAGCUGGUCUGUGAGAAUGAUCAGCCACACUGGGACUGAGACACGGCCCAGACUCCUACGGGAGGCAGCAGUGGGGAAUAUUGGACCAUGGGCGAAAGCCUGAUCCAGCACGGCCGCGUGAGUGAUGAAGGCCUUAGGGUUGUAAAGCUCUUUUACCCGGGAUGAUAAUGACAGUACCGGGAGAAUAAGCCCCGGCUAACUACGUG